Solanum tuberosum (potato) is the source of this 435-nucleotide long non-coding RNA. RefSeq lists it as uncharacterized. NCBI's taxonomy places the organism in Eukaryota, Viridiplantae, Streptophyta, Magnoliopsida, Solanales, Solanaceae. The transcript is spliced from 2 exons. The record is from RefSeq and is a predicted model, not a curated record.
GGCAUAGCCUCUUCUCCUCCUAUCAAGUGUUAAUGGUUCAAUAUUUGACUAUUAACAAUUGGAUAUCAAAGGUUUAUCCUUUUUUCGUUGUUCGUUCUAUCGAGAGUCUGUUAUAAACAGUCAAUCUCAAAGGUAGAGAUAAGACAUGUGUAGACACGCUAUCCUUUUCAUAUCUUACUUGUAAGAUUAUGCUGAAUUAAUUGUUGUUAUUGUUAUUUGGAUAUCGAAGAAUAAUUUUGGCACAAAAUGGAUAUGGAGGUUGAUAUGGUAGAUUCUUUCAUAAGGAACAACCAAGAAAGCUUUGAGUACAAUCUGCAAAGCCUUGAAAACAAUAUGAAGGUAUUAAAUGGCAUAUCAUUAGAAAUUGAGGUACAAGUGAAAGAAGCAGAAAAAAGGAAAAGAAAAAGAAAAAGAGAAGUUGAAAAUUGGUGUGAA